AUAUGGCAAGCCAUUAGUGCCAAAAUUCGCCACUUUUCUAACCCGUUUGAUUAAGAAACGGCGUAAAAAACGCCGUUUAAUUAUUCAAAACGCCGAAAAAAACGGCGUUCUGUUUCGACAAACGCCGUUUUUUCCGACUCUCACAUGGCGCCCUGAACGCACCAUCCGAGUGACGUAAAAAGCGGCGUUCAAAGACACACGGAAACGCCGUUUUUUACGCCACUCGGCAGAAAACGCCGUUCAAAGAUGCAUAAAAACGGCGUUUUUUACGGCGUUCUGUGCCAGCUGUAACGGCGUUUAAAACGGCGUUUUAUUGAAAUUAUGCAGGGCACUCCCCAUGGUUCCCUCAUCCAAUUACUUUCAACUCAUUUCACCCAAUCAAAGAAGAGGAAGUGCAGACCACACUAAUGCAUCACCGAUUCACCUUGCUGCUAAGUGAUUGCCUAUUCAGUACCAGUGCUUGUCACAGUAUUGACUUGUAUUAUAAUCCCACUAUGCAUUUUGAUGUGUUUAAGGCAUGAUCAAGCAAACAAACGACAGAAUACUUUUUCUGAAACCUUAACUGUGAUACCUGUUAUGGCAGCUAACAGACACUCGGCGCAUGGCUCCUUUGUUUACGUUAGGGAUCAGCUGUUAGCGCUGCGCCCUGCAGCUGCGCUACCGGCAGACAGACCCUACGUCCCCAGUGAGGGAAGAGACGGGGGUGAUGUCUCCCGAGAAGGACACCUUACACACCAUCUCUCCUUCCUGUAAUCACUGUAAACGUGAGAUCGCUCCCUGAUAUGAUUGAGGAGCUAAUGACGCUAACCCGGUCACAGUGGCAGUACCCCGACACUGCCCGGUACUCCCUCUGUGAGUAGGCUGCCCGGCUUCCAGCUGCUGCGGCCGGACAAGACCAGAGACAGCGUCCGGUAUGAAGCAGCCACUAAGCAGGACAGGAGCAGGCUGCAGUGGACUGUACUGGCAGCAGAAAAGAUCAUUGGCACCCCCUGCCCUCCAUCCAGGACCUGCACCUCUCAAGAACCAGGAAACGGGAAGGGAAAAUCAUCACAGACCCCUCACACCCUGGACACAGACUUUUUUGACCUGCUGCCCUCUGGCAGACGGUACAGAAGCCUUCAAACCAGGACCACCUGACACAGGAACAUUUUCUUUCCCCUCGCCAUCUCCCUCCUAAGUGGUUGAACUGUCACACUGCUAGACUGCAACUGCAGUCUUUGGUAUUAACUUCUGUAAUCUCUGUAUAAAAGAAUUAGAUUGUGUAUUAUAUUGUUAGUUUAUACACCUGUGUGCAUAUGUGCAUGUGUAUUUAUGCAUGUCCAUACACAUAGAUGGAUUGUGUUUUACAUUUUUUUGCUUGAGAGACGCCCUCAAUCGGAACCUAAUUCCUUGUAUGUGUUUGUGCAUAUACUUUGCCAAUAAACGCGAUUCUGAUUAU
Molecule: long non-coding RNA, 1438 nt
Organism: Oreochromis aureus
Lineage: Eukaryota; Metazoa; Chordata; Actinopteri; Cichliformes; Cichlidae
Exons: 3
Source: RefSeq, a predicted model, not a curated record